Molecule: long non-coding RNA, 272 nt
Filed under: Vitis vinifera (wine grape)
Lineage: Eukaryota; Viridiplantae; Streptophyta; Magnoliopsida; Vitales; Vitaceae
Description: long non-coding RNA (VVIN_LNC005910)
Source: RNAcentral
GGUCAUGUAUGCUUAUAGGAAUUCUAUACAUAGUCCAAAGUAUAUUGUUUUGGUGAUUGGAUGUCCACUGAAUAUUAUAGACUUAAAUCUGAUUGGAAAAAUCAAAUCUAGACAUGCACAAUUCAAUUCAGCACACACAUAUACAGAUGCAUUCAUAUGGACACACUUGCGUACAUACAACCCACAUAUUCAUAUUUGAACAUGGUCUUAAUUUGAUAUGAACAAUCCAAAUUGGGCAGCUCUGUUCCAUAUGCAAAUCCAGUACAUCUCCA